Molecule: ribosomal RNA, 351 nt
Filed under: Triticum aestivum (bread wheat)
Lineage: Eukaryota; Viridiplantae; Streptophyta; Magnoliopsida; Poales; Poaceae
Description: partial small subunit ribosomal RNA
Source: RNAcentral
AUGACGGCUUACGAGAUGGUGAACGAAGCAGCGGUCCAACGGCACCGGGAAUGGGCGCGGGAGGUGCGGAACCGGAGAUGGAAGGCAAGCUCUGGCCGGAUCCAGGGCGAGAACGGCGGAGAUGGCCGGUGGGGCAGGAGGCGCGAGCACAGGGACUUGGCGCAGUGGGGCUCCUCAACGCAGGAAGCAGCGGACGAUGGCGCUGGUCGUCGACGAAAACCCAAACUUGGAAGAAAUGCCGAGAGGGAUAAUAGUGGAGUUUGGGCAGGAAGUAAAUUUUCUCAGACUCGCAAAAAUGAGCUUGAUCCAAGAAAAAUGGAAAUGAACAUGUGGGUGAAGUUUGAAUCGAAC